UACGUAGGGUGCAAGCGUUAAUCGGAAUUACUGGGCGUAAAGGGUGCGCAGGUGGUUUUGUAAGUCAGAUGUGAAAUCCCCGGGCUUAACCUGGGAAUUGCGUUUGAAACUACAAGACUAGAGUGUGGCAGAGGGGGGUGGAAUUCCAUGUGUAGCAGUGAAAUGCGUAGAGAUAUGGAAGAACAUCGAUGGCGAAGGCA
RNAcentral lists this ribosomal RNA (200 nucleotides) under uncultured bacterium. RNAcentral's name for it is "partial 16S ribosomal RNA". It matches the Rfam family "Bacterial small subunit ribosomal RNA", at positions 524 to 723 of the family's 1533-position model. RNAcentral also lists the same sequence under 1 other name. The record is from RNAcentral.